AUGACUCCCAAAGAGAUCGCCGCCAAGGAAAAAGAGCUGAACGAGCGUGCCAACGCUCUUGACGCCCGCGAGACCCAGCUCAAUCAACAAGCCACCGACACCGGCAAAGCAAACGCAACCUCAGCACCUAGCCCUUCCACCUACGCCACCUCCAUCAAAAUCCAUGUUCCCAUUACCCUAGACCUCGCUGCCUCCAACUACACCAACUGGCGCGAGCUGUUCCUUGUCGCCCUUGGCCGCUAUGGCCUCACCUCCCAUGUCGUCAGCAAGGACGGUGCUACACCCUCCGACACCUCGCCCACCUCUGAUUGGGGCCGCGAUGAUUAUACGGUCCUCUCCUGGAUCUAUGGCUCCAUCUCCGCCGAUCUUCUCGGCAUCGUCAUGCGCCCUGGAUCUUCGGCGCGCACCAUCUGGGACGCCAUCGAGAACCUCUUCCGCGACAACAAGAAACAUCGGGCGAUCCAGCUCGAGGCGGAGUUCCGUAAUACCCCGCAAGGCGACAUGACGAUCAGCGACUACUGCACCAAACUCAAGGCUCUCGCGGAUGCGCUUGUGGACGUUGGCCAACCGAUCAGCGAUGAAACACUCGUCCUCACCCUCCUCCGCGGCCUCAACGACAACUUUGCACAUCUCCGCUCUUUUCUUCCAUUUCAGGUUCCCUUCCCCACGUUCCUGCAGACGCGCUCAGCACUAAUCCUGGAGGAGAAUCAGAAGAAGACCGACGCCAAAAACACCGCGUCCACGGCGCUCUGGGCAAGCGGCAACAGCGUUCUCUACGAACGCGCUCCUCCUUCCGGCUCCGGGGGCGCGACUGGCGAGCACGCUCCCUCCUCUGGCUACGGGGGGCGGACGUGGCCAGUUCAACCCCUGGACCGGUGCUCCUACGCGCGCCAACCUGCUUCAGCAGCAGCACUCUGUCGUCCCAUGGCAGCAGCCUCAGACGCCAUGGCAGCCUCGCCCAUGGCAAGCUCCUACACAAGGUCUACUUGGUUCCCGCCCACCAACACCAAUGGCUCCGCAGGCGUACCCUGCUUAUGGCACCAACAACCAAAACCUCUCCAUGCGGCCGUCAACGUCCUCAAGCUCGGCGAUCGACCCAGCUCUCCUAGCGGCCCUCAACAAUAUGCAGCUCCCUGGCUCACACGAGUGAUACAUGCGAAAUCAUUCAGGGGGGAACUGUACCAGAUGGCCCAUCCGCUCGCACAAAAGGACAGACACAUGUGGGCUUCGAAAGCAAGCAUCUCCAGAAAGAGAGACAGAGGAGUCAUCCGCGGUCGCCGCGUGACAUUUUCUCCUCCGUCUUCCUGUGGAGCUAGCUCGGCGGCGGGGGAAGAAACGAGAGAAGGAACGAGAUCUGAGAGGCAGCUUCGCUUGCCGGGGAGGGAGGAGGGGGGAUCAUUCGCCAGUCCGGUCGAAUGCGAGCAGGUCUGUCUGAGCAACUGCUCUUGCAGUGCAUAUACCUUUGGAAGUGGUGGCUGUUCUAUGUGGCAUGGUGGAUUGCUGAAUGUAAAACAACACCACCAGAUUGAUGGUGCUUCCAGCGGUGAUGGCGAAAUUCUUCACAUCCGCCUCGCGGCAAAAGAGUUCCGGACUCGGAAAAACAACAAUGUAGUUAUCAUUUUAGGUGCCAUUGGUGCAGGCCUCAACGCUCUGGGUAUCUUGGUACUCAUCGUAGUGCUACGCAGGACCAGGAGGAACAAAAGGUACAGUGAAACAUUAGACAAAAUCCAUGGUGGUAGUGGGCUUGUUUCAUUCAGAUACAGCGAUUUGCGGCGUGCAACUAGAGAUUUCUCGGAGAAGAUUGGGGCAGGUGGUUUUGGUUCUGUGUUCAAGGGGUCACUAAAUGAUUCGACCACUAUAGCCGUGAAAAGGCUUCACGGUUGUUAUCAACAAGAGAAGCAAUUCAGGGCUGAGGAUAAAGAGCCCCAGCUGAUGAUGCUUUGA
Molecule: ribosomal RNA, 1944 nt
Filed under: Triticum aestivum (bread wheat)
Lineage: Eukaryota; Viridiplantae; Streptophyta; Magnoliopsida; Poales; Poaceae
Description: partial small subunit ribosomal RNA
Source: RNAcentral